CCUGAGGAGGACGAGUCGCUGGCAGUAUUUAACUGCUUGAGGAAAGUCCGGACUCCGCAGGGCAAGGUGUCCGGGUGUAAUACCUGGAAGGGUGUGAGCAAAUCACACUGAUGGAAAGUGCCACAGAAAAUAAACCGCCAGUGGCUUAGCUAUUGGUAAGGGUGAAAAGGCGGUGUAAGAGACCACCGUAGCAUGUAGAGAUGCAUACUGCAAGGCAAACCCCACUUGGAGCAAUACCAAAUAGGAAAUGGCUUAUUUACGGCCCGUAGAUUUGCUUGACUCAGUCAAGUAGCCAUUUCGGGUUGGUAGCGUUAGACGAAUGACUCGAAUUCUCGAAAGAGAAUACAGAAUCCGGCUUAUGAAUCCACAGGUCCG
RNAcentral lists this RNase P RNA (375 nucleotides) under Kiritimatiellia bacterium. Its description in RNAcentral is "Kiritimatiellae bacterium (gut metagenome) RNase P RNA component class A". It matches the Rfam family "Bacterial RNase P class A". From Rfam's summary of the family: Ribonuclease P (RNase P) is a ubiquitous endoribonuclease, found in archaea, bacteria and eukarya as well as chloroplasts and mitochondria. Lineage: Bacteria; Pseudomonadati; Kiritimatiellota; Kiritimatiellia. The record is from RNAcentral.